RNAcentral lists this non-coding RNA (90 nucleotides) under Streptomyces sp. CB03234. RNAcentral's name for it is "sodF sRNA". It matches the Rfam family "sodF sRNA". Rfam says of the family: Identified in Streptomyces coelicolor. It is produced from sodF mRNA by cleavage of about 90 nucleotides from its 3'UTR. Lineage: Bacteria; Bacillati; Actinomycetota; Actinomycetes; Kitasatosporales; Streptomycetaceae. The record is from Rfam by way of RNAcentral.
ACGACCUGCUCGUGAUCGUCUUCUCAACCUUCACCGGGCAGGCGGAUGAAGGAAGGCCCCCCGUGAGGACAUGGCUCACGGGGGGCCUUC